AAAACACACAUAUACAUAUACAUCUAUAUUACUAUUAAAAAAAACAAUACAGUUAGGGUUCUUUUACAAUGUCAGAAGGAGGGAGGCACUAAGGCACCGCCUUCCGCCCCUGGACGCCCUCGCGGUGCCCCCCUCCUUCUGACAGGAACUUCCUACAGACCAGGUGUGAAUGAUGCCUGAGUGGACAUACAAAACUCACAAGUUCCUGGCUCUCACGGCUCCUCUGCAGCGGGUUAGUCGAAGAAGGAGGGGCAUCGCGAGGGGCGUCAGGGGGCGGGGGACUGUGCCUCACUGCCCUCCCCUUCUCGAAGAAACCCGUCUUCAACCGAGCCGAGAGAGCCAGGAACUUGUGAGGUGUGCAUGUCCUGGUGAGCCUCCACCUUUUUAUAGGUGGGUGCAGCCUCGACUGUAUAGAGACAGACCAGGCCAGCUGCACCACACAGACACUUCAAACCUCAUCUGAGGACAUAAAACACAAAUAUACAUCUAUAUUACUAUUAAAAGAAAAUAAAGUUAGGGUUCUUUUACAAUGUCAGAAGGAGGGAGGCACUAAGGCACCGCCUUCCGCCCCUGGACGCCCUCGCGGUGCCCCCCUCCUUCUGACAGGAACUUCCUACAGACCAGGUAUGAAUGAUGCCUGAGUGGACAUACAAAACUCACAAGUUCCUGGCUCCCACGGCUCCUCUGCAGCGGGUUAGUCGAAGAAGGAGGGGCAUCGCGAGGGGCGUCGGGGCGGGGACUGUGCCUCACUGCCCUCCCCUUCUCGAAGAAACCCGUCUUCAACCGAGCCGAGAGAGCCAGGAACUUGUGAGGUGUGCAUGUCCUGGUGAGCCUCCACCUUUUUAUAGGUGGGUGCAGCCUCGACUGUAUAGAGACAGACCAGGCCAGCUGCACCACAGACACUUCAAACCUCAUCUGAGGACAUAAAACACAAAUAUACAUCUAUAUUACUAUUAAAAGAAAAUAAAGUUAGGGUUCUUUUACAAUGUCAGAAGGAGGGAGGCACUAAGGCACCGCCUUCCGCCCCUGGACGCCCUCGCGGUGCCCCCCUCCUUCUGACAGGAACUUCCUACAGACCAGGUAUGAAUGAUGCCUGAGUGGACAUACAAAACUCACAAGUUCCUGGCUCCCACGGCUCCUCUGCAGCGGGUUAGUCGAAGAAGGAGGGGCAUCGCGAGGGGCGUCGGGGGGCGGGGGACUGUGCCUCACUGCCCUCCCCUUCUCGAAGAAACCCGUCUUCAACCGAGCCGAGAGAGCCAGGAACUUGUGAGGUGUGCAUGUCCUGGUGAGCCUCCACCUUUUUAUAGGUGGGUGCAGCCUCGACUGUAUAGAGACAGACCAGGCCAGCUGCACCACACAGACACUUCAAACCGCAUCUGAGGACAUAAAACACACAUAUACAUCUAUAUUACUAUUAAAAAAAAAUACAGUUAGGGUUCUUUUACAAUGUCAGAAGGAGGGAGGCACUAAGGCACCGCCUUCCGCCCC
Long non-coding RNA from Oreochromis aureus, 1488 nucleotides. The record is from Ensembl. NCBI's taxonomy places the organism in Eukaryota, Metazoa, Chordata, Actinopteri, Cichliformes, Cichlidae.